GACCAUGUGGCCUAAUGGAUAAGGCGUCGGACAUCUAAAAAUAUGGUUGACAUCCGAAAAUUGCGGGUUCGAGUCCCGCCUUGGUUA
Molecule: transfer RNA, 87 nt
Filed under: Daphnia pulex (common water flea)
Lineage: Eukaryota; Metazoa; Arthropoda; Branchiopoda; Diplostraca; Daphniidae
Rfam family: tRNA
About the family: Transfer RNA (tRNA) molecules are approximately 80 nucleotides in length. Their secondary structure includes four short double-helical elements and three loops (D, anti-codon, and T loops).
Source: Rfam by way of RNAcentral